Molecule: long non-coding RNA, 1588 nt
Filed under: Homo sapiens (human)
Lineage: Eukaryota; Metazoa; Chordata; Mammalia; Primates; Hominidae
Description: HSALNT0173938
Source: RNAcentral
CCAGGUCAUCGCUUAGCUUACUUCACUUGACAACUGGACAUUUUCUGCUUGCUCCUCCAGAUUUAAUCUCCAUCCUCCUCCAUUCUAAUCUGUACUCUGGCCUUGAUCUUCUUUUGGGAUCCACAGAAAACUACCACUGGCACAUGGGGGAGUUGAUGGUGAUAAAUUCCAAGGGUAACUGGGAAGAAAAACAACCAAGAUCCACUGGAGAAGUCAGUUAUUGUUAGGUCAGGCAACAUCAACACAAUAGACAUCUGUUCCAUUGAGAAAAAAGAACUCUGUUGAACUGAUGAAGCUGUCAGCAUAAGUCAUGCUCUUUGGGCAUGUCAUAAAACGACCUGACCUUCAGAGAGGAGGCUGGGGUAUCAGAAUCCUCAUUCCUACCAUCAGUGGAAUCUGUCAUGGUAGAAUUUCUUUCCCUGUGUGGUUCCCCCAAAUGUACACUGAUUAUUAACUUUUAAAUUCAUAGCUUAGGAACUAUAGGAGGAUCUAGCUCUGCACUGAAAAUAAUGAAAUUCUGCUGGCUAGCCAACCCUCAGUUGUUCCAGAUUCAACAGGUUUCUAUUGGGUAUCUAUGCAUGCAAAUACCAGAGGUUCAACAGUUAACAAGACAGUCAUGAUCCCUGUGCUAUGGAUCUUAAGAUCUAGUUGUCCUCCUGUUAGCAAUAUCACCGUAUCAAGAAUCAAUCAACUGUUCCCAAUUGACUGAGCUGGAAUGAACUGCCCAAUCCCCUCCAUUUAUCAAUUUAAAAAUAACUCUGAAUAGGUUAUAUCUGUGUAUAUAGGGUUCAAAACUAAUUAAAAGAGAGGACUAGAACCCAGGUCUACUGACUCCCAGACCUUCCCUGUUUGUUGAUACUCUGCCCUCCUUUCUACCUACUCCCAAAAAAAGCUUAAUUUCCCAUGUAGAGUCCUUACACUGGUAAAUGUCUGCUGACACAUGCAGGAGUCAAUGAUUAUUGACUCUGGCAAAAGCAAUACGUUGUCUAGUAUAUUUACCAACUACUAGAACACAGUGGUGACAUAAAUUUGUUUUUCAUGAAACUUUCUCUAUUUCUGAAAGCAAAGUCCACUAGAAAGCCGAACUCGUGGAAAGUAUUUCACAUAAAAUUGUAUUUGAUGGACAUACUUAAAGGGCAAAUAUUAAAUUAUGGCUUUAAUCUCUAUUCUUUUAUAUAUGUCAAGAAAGCCUCAUCAAAUCUUACCUUUCAUAUGCAUGAAAUAUUCCUUUAAAGUUGGCUUAUCAGAUUACUAAAAGAACUUCUGUACCAAAGAUUUUUUUAAAAUGUGCUAGGCUAAGACAACAUUGUGAGAUAUAUUUAGGAGUAGGAAAAAAGGCUGAAUUUCCCUUUUUUUUUUUCCUUCUUCUCCUUUCAGGGAUCCAGUGAACUCAAUGUCCUUUAGUAAAUGUACCAGGUAGAGCAGUUGAAUUCAUGAGAAAAUCAUCAAGUAGUCAAUAUUCUGGUUGUCUCAAAAGGAUUUCUUUUUAAAAAAAGAAGACCCAAGGAAAACACUAUCAAUAGAAAGCAUUGAAUGCUCAUAAGGAAUUUAGGCAAUACCAGGAAAGUGUGUUUGGGGUGAGGGGAAG